This 74-nucleotide transfer RNA is filed under the name Microcaldota archaeon. RNAcentral's name for it is "tRNA-Arg". It matches the Rfam family "tRNA". Rfam says of the family: Transfer RNA (tRNA) molecules are approximately 80 nucleotides in length. Their secondary structure includes four short double-helical elements and three loops (D, anti-codon, and T loops). Further hydrogen bonds mediate the characteristic L-shaped molecular structure. tRNAs have two regions of fundamental functional importance: the anti-codon, which is responsible for specific mRNA codon recognition, and the 3' end, to which the tRNAs corresponding amino acid is attached (by aminoacyl-tRNA synthetases). tRNAs cope with the degeneracy of the genetic code in two manners: having more than one tRNA (with a specific anti-codon) for a particular amino acid; and 'wobble' base-pairing, i.e. permitting non-standard base-pairing at the 3rd anti-codon position. The record is from RNAcentral. RNAcentral also lists the same sequence under 1 other name. Lineage: Archaea; Nanobdellati; Microcaldota.
GCCCUCAUAGUCUAGCCUGGACAGGACACGAGCUUGCGGAGCUUGGAACCUGGGUUCGAAUCCCAGUGAGGGCA